RNAcentral lists this ribosomal RNA (254 nucleotides) under uncultured bacterium. Its description in RNAcentral is "partial 16S ribosomal RNA". It matches the Rfam family "Bacterial small subunit ribosomal RNA", at positions 524 to 776 of the family's 1533-position model. The record is from RNAcentral.
UACGUAGGGUGCGAGCGUUAAUCGGAAUUACUGGGCGUAAAGCGUGCGCAGGCGGUUUUGUAAGCCAGAUGUGAAAUCCCCGGGCUUAACCUGGGAAUGGCAUUUGGGACUGCAAGGCUUGAGUGCGGCAGAGGGGGAUGGAAUUCCGCGUGUAGCAGUGAAAUGCGUAGAUAUGCGGAGGAACACCGAUGGCGAAGGCAAUCCCCUGGGCCUGCACAUGACGCUCAUGCACGAAAGCGUGGGGAGCAAACAGG